AACAAGUGCAAUAAAGGCGAACUGGAAAGCAAAACCCGUAUGAUAACCAACACCGUACGCGACGUCAAUACGAAUUAAAUCGGAAUAUGAAAUACAAAAGAGAUGUCACAAUUUUUGUUUUCUUGUAAUUUUCAUUGGAAACUUAAAUUUUAUGCUAGGUUCACACUGCCGAUCAGAUCAAUUCGAUGAUCCCUAUUGUCCAAAAUUCCACCACCAAGCGAAACCAAAAUCUUGAUCGGGCCUGUUUACGACUUCUACCCGACUGUUAUUCGACUGUACACGACUUUAACUCGACCAUUCACGACUCCAACCCGACCACUAAUUGAUUAAAUAUUCGAUAAUUCCGACCAAUUUACGAUCUCUACACGAUCUUUACUCGACUAGUUAGACCAAAUCAACUAUACUCGAUCACAGCCUGAUCUCUACCAAACCAGAUCGACCCGAAUCGUAUAGAUAGUCGUUUGGAUUGUCUGGAAUUAGUCGGGUAUAUACAAUUUUUAUAUAAAAACAUCAUAUUUU
RNAcentral lists this long non-coding RNA (519 nucleotides) under Mytilus galloprovincialis (Mediterranean mussel). Lineage: Eukaryota; Metazoa; Mollusca; Bivalvia; Mytilida; Mytilidae. The record is from RNAcentral.